RNA transcript from Quercus lobata, 3775 nucleotides. It is a transcript of the gene named calmodulin-binding transcription activator 2-like, with no coding region annotated. NCBI's taxonomy places the organism in Eukaryota, Viridiplantae, Streptophyta, Magnoliopsida, Fagales, Fagaceae. The transcript has 13 exons. The record is from RefSeq and is a predicted model, not a curated record.
UUUUUUCCCUUCGCUUUAGUGCCUUUCACGCGCUUCUCUCUCACAGUUUUUAUUUAUAUUUCUUUCUAUACGGUUCGUUUCUUCGAACCCACAAACACCUCCAUAUCUCUCCCUCGCAUUUCUCUCAUUUUCACCAUUGCUGUUAGGGUUUUCUAUCUUCUCCAACCUUCCUAAAUCUUUGCCUGCUCAGAAUCGGUUUUGUGGUUUCGCAAUUUGGAGCUUCGCUCAUGAAAGCUAGGGUUUAUGGCUGAGAGUAAAAGAUACGUUCCAAAUCAACCAUUAGACCUUGACAGGAUAGUGACAGAAGCUCAACACCGUUGGCUUCGGCCAAAUGAAAUCUGUGAAAUACUUCGCAACCAUCAAAGGUUUCAGCUACGGUCAGAUCCACCUGCUAGGCCUCCAGCUGGUUCUCUGUUUCUGUUUGAUCGAAAAGUUAUUCGGUAUUUUCGUAAAGAUGGUUACCGGUGGAGGAAGAAGAAAGAUGGGAAAACUGUUAAAGAAGCUCAUGAAAAGUUGAAGGCUAACAGCGUGGAUGUUCUCCAUUGUUAUUAUGCCCAUGGUGAGGAAAAUGAGAACUUCCAGCGAAGAAGCUAUUGGAUGCUUGACGCGUGCUUAGAACACAUUGUUCUUGUUCAUUACAGAGAAGUAAAAGAGGGGUACAAGUCAGGUAUCUCUCGCUUGAUGGCAGAUCCGGGAUCACAGGCUGGAAGCCCUCAAAGUUGUUCAGUACCAUGCCCUGCAAACUCACCUGCCUCAACAGUUCAGACCUCUUAUCCAUCAAGUCCAAACAGAUUUGACAGAAAUGGACGAAGAUUAUCAUCAGAAUUUGAGGAUGUGGAUUCAGGGCGUGAUCCUCGAGCAUCUUCGCUUGCUCAACCUAUUUUUGGUUCUACAUCACACAGCACUUCUAUGCUUGCACAUGAAGUUGCGGGGUUUCCAGAAUUAACAAGGAAUUCCCCCGAUAUAUGGUUUUCUGGAUCUAAAUAUCAUGGUUCCGAAUCAACCAACUGGGCUGAAAUUAACAGCUUGAACGUCACAGAUGGUGUGCAUGGCCAGAAAUUUUUUAAACAUCCUACUGGAGCUGACUUUAUAACCCGUAGGUUAACGGAUGCUAGAUUGGAUACUGAUAGCUCUGUUCAAGAUGUUGUAACUUGUGCAAAUAGAUUGAUCACAGACAAAGACAACCAGACAUUGAUGGCUGCUUCUCAGGGAGUAGUUCAGGUGCCGCAAGAGCGUGGCUCCAAUUUAGUUCGUCCUCAGUUUCAGAAUUGUUCAGAUCCUCAUGUGGUAGUAACUUCAACCAUUCAUGUCGAAAAGAAAUCUGAAGAUGGUGGCAAAGAUAAUAAUGAAACUGUUGGGCUGAAGAAACUUGACAGCUUUGGGAGAUGGAUGGAUAAAGAAAUUGGUGGUGAUUGUGAUGAUUCCUUGAUGGGUUCAGACUCUGGCAAUUAUUGGAAUACGAAUACACUUGAUGCUGAAAACGACGAGAAGGAAGUAUCCAGUUUAUCACACCAUAUGCAGCUGGAGAUCAAUUCUUUGGGCCCUUCUCUUUCCCAACAACAGGUUUUUACAAUUCAUGAUUUUGCACCAGAUUGGACCUAUUCUGGGGAUACAACAGAGGAUACAACAAAGGAUAGAACAAAGGUUUUAAUUGUUGGUAAUUUUUUGGUAAGCAAGGAGCUAUCUAGCAAGAUUAAGUGGGGAUGUAUGUUUGGUGAGGUUGAGGUUUCUGCUGAAGUUCUGUCUGAUACUGUCAUCAGAUGCCAAACUCCUAAACAUGCUCCUGGACGUGUUCCAUUUUAUGUCACCUGCAGCAAUAGGUUAGCCUGCAGUGAGGUGAGGGAGUUUGAAUAUCGUGAAAAACCUUCAGGAAAUUUGUUUCCUAUGGCUAUUAAAAAUGCACCAGAAGAUGAAGCGCGCAUUCAAAUGCGUCUAGCAAAACUUUUAAAUUUGGCCCAGGUGAGGAAAUGGCUGGACUGUUCUAUUCAGGAUUGUGAUAAAUGUAAGCUUAAAAGUACCAUAUAUUCAAUGAGAUGUGACAGUGGGAAAGAUUGGGGAAGGGUUGAUGAGACUUCUUUGGCCUUCAAUAGUGAUCACAUGAACCCUAGAGAUAGAUUGAUUCAAAGUUUGUUUAAGGAUAGACUUUAUGAGUGGCUAAUCUGUAAAGUUCAUGAAGGAGGUAGAGGAACACAUGUUUUGGACAAUGAAGGCCAAGGUGUUAUACAUUUGGCAGCUGCUCUUGGUUAUGAGUGGGCCAUGCGCCCCAUAGUUGCUGCUGGUGUCGGUCCCAAUUUCAGAGAUGCACAUGGAAGAACUGGGCUUCACUGGGCAUCAUAUUUUGGGAGAGAGGAAACAGUCAUUACCCUACUUAGAUUGGGUGCUGCUCCGGGUGCCGUUGAGGACCCAACAUCAACAUCUCCAGGAGGAAAAACAGCUGCUGAUCUAGCAUCAAGUAGAGGACAUAAAGGGAUUGCUGGAUAUUUGGCAGAAGCAGAUCUAACCACUCACCUUUCUUCACUGACUUUCAAUGAAAAUGUAAUGGACAGUGUUGCUGCAACUAUUGCAGCUGAAAAGGCUAUUGAGACUGCAGCACAAAUUGUUCCAUCAGAUAUGUUAGCAAAUGAGGAUCCUUCUUUGAAAGGAUCUCUUGAUGCUGUUAGGAAAUCAGCUCAUGCAGCUGCUCUGAUACAUGCUGAAUUCCGGCUUCGAUCAUUCAAUCACAGACAAUUAACUAAAAGCAACAAUGAUAUUUCUGAAGCUUCUUCACUUGACCUAGUUGCACUUGGUUCUUUGACCAAGGUCCGAAAAUUUAGCAACUAUGAGGAUUAUUUGCAUACUGCUGCAGCUAUAAAGAUCCAACAAAGAUAUCGUGGUUGGAAGGGAAGAAAAGAGUUUCUGAAGAUACGCAAUCGUAUUGUGAAAAUUCAGGCUCAUGUUAGGGGACAUCAAGUUCGGAAGCAGUAUAAAAAGGUUGUUUGGUCUGUUAGUAUUGUGGAAAAGGCAAUACUGCGCUGGAGGCGGAAACGGUCUGGUUUGCGAGGAUUCCGAGUGGAAAAGGCAAAGAUUGAGAAAACUGAUGAGUAUGAAUUCUUACGAAUUGGCCGGAAACAGAAAUUUGCUGGAGUUGAGAAAGCUCUUGCUAGAGUCAGGUCCAUGGUUCGUUAUCCAGAAGCACGUGAUCAGUAUAUGAGGCUAUCUACCAAGUUUGAGAAUCUAAAGAUGGGUGAUGGAGGGAGUGGUGCAAUACUACAAGGUGAAAUUUCACAAAAGGCCAGUACAGUGGAAGAUUUGGCUGUGCAUUCUCAAAGGAACUUGCAUUUACAGCAGAUUGGUGAUUGAAGUUGUCAGGGCAUUUGAUUUGUCCACUGGUCGUCCUUUUUUUACCUGUAAGUAAUGUCUAACACGUUUUACUCGGAGGUUUUGUUGGAGGAGAAAGAGUGUUGGGGAAGUUGUAUAUGCCCUUUUCUUUUCUUUUCUUUUCUUUUCCCUCUCUCCUUUUCUUUUUCUCCGCAUGUAAACAGUAUUUAGUUACCUGGAAUACGGUUAAGGAAGCAGGCAGCUUUUAACUGGAAUAUGGGAUAUGCAAAAUGGCAACAUUGAAAAGUAUUGAUUACUGAAUACUGAUUAUGAUUUUUACAAAACACCUAUUAGAAGUUGAAAAUGGUGUUGGUGAUUUUUAUUCAGCACAUGGUAGGUGCAUAUGUAGUUAAACCUUUGACACAAUAUCAACUUUGAUUUAAUAUAUUCUUUAAUAGUGUGAUACUCUUUGCCUGAA